AGAGAGAGACAUGCGCGCAUAUCAAUAAGCGGAGGAAAAGAAACUAACUAGGAUUCCCCUCAGUAACGGCGAGUGAAGCGGGAAGAGCUCAAAUUUGAAAUCUUCAAGGGUUCUACCUUUACGAAUUGUAGUUUAAAGAAGUGUUUUCUGUUGGAGUUUUGGUAAAAGUUCUUUGGAAUAGGGACAUCAUAGAGGGUGAGAAUCCCGUAUUUGACCAUUACUUUCCAGCUUUGUGAUACACAUUCAAAGAGUCGGAUUGUUUGGGAAUGCAGUCCAAAAUGGGUGGUAAAUUUCAUCUAAAGCUAAAUAUUGGCGAGAGACCGAUAGCGAACAAGUACCGUGAGGGAAAGAUGAAAAGAACUUUGAAAAGAGAGUUAAACAGUACGUGAAAUUGUCAAAAGGGAAGCGUUUGACACCAGUGUUGUUUUCUCGAAAAUCAAUUAAAAAAGGCUAGGAUUUUGUGUUGUAUUGACCUUUAAUCAGCUUUCUGCACUCUUUUCUUGUCUUUUUUAAUGCACUUUUCGUUUAACAAGUCAACAUCAAUUUCUUUUGUUGUAAAAGGGUCAUUGGAAGGUGGCUUUCUUUUCGGAGAAAGUGUUUAUAGCCUUUGGCCUCUGCAAUCGGAGAGAUUGAGGUCUGCAGCGUAGAUCCUUCGGGGUUAGAUACAUUUGUGCUAAGUUAUAGCCUUUCAUAGACAACUUGUUGACUAUGAUUAGUCUUGUAGCUUACUCGCUUAUGCUAUUUUACCUACGCUUAGGAUGUUGAUGUGAUACUGCGAGCA
Molecule: ribosomal RNA, 781 nt
Filed under: uncultured Neocallimastigales
Lineage: Eukaryota; Fungi; Neocallimastigomycota; Neocallimastigomycetes; Neocallimastigales
Description: partial large subunit ribosomal RNA
Rfam family: Eukaryotic large subunit ribosomal RNA
Source: RNAcentral